Molecule: ribosomal RNA, 963 nt
Filed under: Escherichia coli
Lineage: Bacteria; Pseudomonadati; Pseudomonadota; Gammaproteobacteria; Enterobacterales; Enterobacteriaceae
Description: partial 23S ribosomal RNA
Rfam family: Bacterial large subunit ribosomal RNA
Source: RNAcentral
ACGUACAAGCAGUGGGAGCACGCUUAGGCGUGUGACUGCGUACCUUUUGUAUAAUGGGUCAGCGACUUAUAUUCUGUAGCAAGGUUAACCGAAUAGGGGAGCCGAAGGGAAACCGAGUCUUAACUGGGCGUUAAGUUGCAGGGUAUAGACCCGAAACCCGGUGAUCUAGCCAUGGGCAGGUUGAAGGUUGGGUAACACUAACUGGAGGACCGAACCGACUAAUGUUGAAAAAUUAGCGGAUGACUUGUGGCUGGGGGUGAAAGGCCAAUCAAACCGGGAGAUAGCUGGUUCUCCCCGAAAGCUAUUUAGGUAGCGCCUCGUGAAUUCAUCUCCGGGGGUAGAGCACUGUUUCGGCAAGGGGGUCAUCCCGACUUACCAACCCGAUGCAAACUGCGAAUACCGGAGAAUGUUAUCACGGGAGACACACGGCGGGUGCUAACGUCCGUCGUGAAGAGGGAAACAACCCAGACCGCCAGCUAAGGUCCCAAAGUCAUGGUUAAGUGGGAAACGAUGUGGGAAGGCCCAGACAGCCAGGAUGUUGGCUUAGAAGCAGCCAUCAUUUAAAGAAAGCGUAAUAGCUCACUGGUCGAGUCGGCCUGCGCGGAAGAUGUAACGGGGCUAAACCAUGCACCGAAGCUGCGGCAGCGACGCUUAUGCGUUGUUGGGUAGGGGAGCGUUCUGUAAGCCUGCGAAGGUGUGCUGUGAGGCAUGCUGGAGGUAUCAGAAGUGCGAAUGCUGACAUAAGUAACGAUAAAGCGGGUGAAAAGCCCGCUCGCCGGAAGACCAAGGGUUCCUGUCCAACGUUAAUCGGGGCAGGGUGAGUCGACCCCUAAGGCGAGGCCGAAAGGCGUAGUCGAUGGGAAACAGGUUAAUAUUCCUGUACUUGGUGUUACUGCGAAGGGGGGACGGAGAAGGCUAUGUUGGCCGGGCGACGGUUGUCCCGGUUUAAGCGUGUAGGCUGGU